GGUGGUUGCUCUGCCAUGGAGGAUGGAGUUAUCCUAACUCGUUGUCUCGGUGAAGCUAUAAAAGCUAAGGAUCUGAAAGGUGAAACAGGAGAUGAAGACGGGAGUUAUAAGCGGAUUGGUGAAGGUUUGAAGAAGUAUGCAAAAGAAAGGAAAUGGAGAAGCAUUGAUCUGAUAACUACAGCAUAUAUUGUAGGUUUCAUACAACAAAGUAGAGGGAAGUGGAUGAACAUGUUCAGAGACAGGUUCUUGUCGUCUUUCCUUUCUCGGUUGCUGCUGAAAAAGUCUCGUUUCGAUUGCGGAAGCCUUCGCUGUGAUUCUCAAUAAGCGAGCAGGAAUGGUGUAGCUUAGCCAAAGACUUGUGCCUAAAUCUAAUGAACGUUAAGCUAAAUACCAAUUUUCACAUAUGCUUCAUCUAAAUCCUUGCUAGAAACGAAUAAUAAAGCUAAAAGGCAUGUUUUGAAAGCAAACAAGAACCAUGAGGAGUCAAGUAACCAUAGAUACAAAACAAGAGAAAAGAUGCUACUGGACAGUGUGCUAUACACUUUGUAGCAGAGUGUUGGAUAAAGCAGACCAAGAAAAGUCUCAUUGUAAUAUACGAAUUAUAUGAACAGCUCAUCCAGAAAUGGGGAGAGGAAAGCCAAAUAAAUCUACUUUGAAAGUGUGAGAUCGAUCACACAAGUAUUAUCAAAACAAGUCUAUGAUGUUGUUCAAGUCUCAAACUUGUGAUCAUGUAAAUAUAUGUCAUAAUCUUGUGACAUGAAUUAUGAUUAAUUCUAACCACAGAAAUUAAUAAACGAGUGAUUGGUGUUCUCUAAACGCAUAAAGCAGAAAGUAAAAGAGUAAGUAGGAACCUACCUUGCUCAUACGAUGUGGUGGAGCUUAAGGGC
Molecule: long non-coding RNA, 887 nt
Filed under: Capsella grandiflora
Lineage: Eukaryota; Viridiplantae; Streptophyta; Magnoliopsida; Brassicales; Brassicaceae
Description: long non-coding RNA (CGRA_LNC000087)
Source: RNAcentral